AAUGAACGUUGGCGGCGUGGAUUAGGCAUGCAAGUCGAGCGAGAAGUCUGUGAAUGAUCCUUCGGGUGAAUGAUCAGAUGGAAAGCGGCAGACGGCGUAGUUAUGAAUAGGUUACGUACCCUCAGGACGGGAAUAGCCACGGGAAACUGUGGGUAAUGCCCGAUAAUGUCUUCGGACCAAAUGGUGUGAUUCCGCCUGAGGAGCGGCUUAUUUGAUAUUAGCUUGUUGGUGGGGUAAUGGCCUACCAAGGCUGCGAUGUCUAGGGGGUGUGAGAGCAUGGCCCCCACGACCGGGACUGAGACACUGCCCGGACAUCUACGGAUGGCUGCAGUCGAGAAUCUUCCGCAAUGGACGCAAGUCCGACGGAGCGACGCCGCGUGCGGGACGAAGGCCCUUGGGUUGUAAACCGCUGUCAGAGGGGAUGAAAUGCAGGUGGGCUAUCCCAUCUGUUUGACAAAGCCUCAGAGGAAGCACAGGCUAAGUACG
This 486-nucleotide ribosomal RNA is filed under the name uncultured Planctomyces sp. Its description in RNAcentral is "bacterial SSU rRNA". It matches the Rfam family "Bacterial small subunit ribosomal RNA", at positions 29 to 505 of the family's 1533-position model. Lineage: Bacteria; Pseudomonadati; Planctomycetota; Planctomycetia; Planctomycetales; Planctomycetaceae. The record is from RNAcentral.